UCCAGACCUCAUCACAAGGAGAGUGGCUCCCUCCUUGCCAGAAAUGGGGACACAGGGAGGAUGAGGAGGUGGCCUGGAGGGAGAGGCUCAGCCAGACUGCAGCUGCGUGAGAGUGGGUUCUUGGACCCAGCCGGAAACAGUGCAGGUCUUCAAGUGUCCUGCAUGACUCUGAGCUGUCUGUGGUGGUGCUGAUGGCAGAGGCUGGGCUGGCUCGUGCUUCACACCUGACAGUGGCCUGGAGUGCUCCCCAGGGGUGGCCCAAGCUAUGUCCCAGAGCUUCAGCCAUGAAGGAGGCAGGUUGCUGAGGGUCCACACAUUGCCUUCAGAGAUCCUAACCCCAGGAGCGCACCCUGUAGAAGGAGGAGGCGGGCGAGAGACAGGGAAAUACAAAACCUAACAGGUAAACAAGAUGGAGUCUUGCUCUGUUGUACCUCGGUUGGAGUGCAGUGGUACGAUCUCGGCUCACUGCAACCUCUGCCUCCCGGUUUCAAGCGAUUCUUCCACCUCAGUCUCCCAAGUAGCUGGGAUUACAGGAGCCCGCCACCACGCCAGGCUAAUUUUUUGUAUUUUCAGUAGAGAUGGGGUUUCACCAUGUUGGCCAGGCUGGUCUCAAACUCCCAACCUCAGGUGAUCUGCCCGCCUCGGCCUCCCAAAAUGCUGGGAUUACAGGCAUGAGCCACCAUUCCCGGCCUACUGCUGUUUUCUUUUUGCAAUAAAACAGAAUGUCUGCA
Molecule: long non-coding RNA, 731 nt
Filed under: Homo sapiens (human)
Lineage: Eukaryota; Metazoa; Chordata; Mammalia; Primates; Hominidae
Description: HSALNT0215091
Source: RNAcentral